RNAcentral lists this unclassified non-coding RNA (301 nucleotides) under uncultured fungus. RNAcentral describes it as "sequence contains ITS1". The stretch from base 1 to 99 matches the Rfam family "5.8S ribosomal RNA", at positions 50 to 154 of the family's 154-position model. The record is from RNAcentral. Lineage: Eukaryota; Fungi.
GAAAUGCGAUAAUCAGUGUGAAUUGCAAAAGGGACACACUUGAUCUUUGAACGCACAUUGCGGCCUAGUUAACGCUAGGCCUUGUCUCUCUGAGGGUUGGAUUACUAAUCGAUCGUAGUACAGAGCGAAUUGAUCUAUUAACUUAGAUUAAUCGCUUACUUUGAGUAUACCUGUAGCUCCUUUUCUGAGCAAAGGUGUCCCCGGACACCUAGACUCUCAGACUGGUAAGCUUGCAGAAUGGACCAAAUUCCGUUUAAAUUUAGUCAACCUCAGAUGAAGCAAGACUACCCGCUUAACUUAA